RNAcentral lists this long non-coding RNA (348 nucleotides) under Homo sapiens (human). Its description in RNAcentral is "non-protein coding lnc-BRF1-41:1". The record is from RNAcentral. Lineage: Eukaryota; Metazoa; Chordata; Mammalia; Primates; Hominidae.
UGGAGUCAUGGCUGAGCUGGGUUUUUCUUGCCGCUAUUUUAAAAGGUGUCCAGUGUGAGGUGCAGCUGGUGGAGUCUGGGGGAGGCUUGGUCCAGCCUGGGGGGUCCCUGAGACUCUCCUGUGCAGCCUCAGGAUUCUCCUUUAGUAGCUAUGGCAUGAGCUGGGUCCGCCAGGCUCCAGGGAAGGGGCUGGACUGAGUGGCACAUAUCUGGAAUGAUGGAAGUCAGAAAUACUAUGCAGACUCUGUGAAGGGCCGAUUCACAAUCUCCAGAGACAAUUCUAAGAGCAUGCUCUAUCUGCAAAUGGACAGUCUGAAAGCUAAGGACACGGCCAUGUAUUACUGUACCA